GACGAACGCUGGCGGCGCGCUUAACACAUGCAAGUCGAGCGAUGAAACUUUAACAGAACGCUUCGGGGCGAAGAUAAAGUGGAUUAGCGGCGGACGGGUGAGUAACACGUGAGUAAGCUGCCUUAGACAUUGGGAUAGCCUCGGGAGAACGGGAUGAAUACCAAAUAAAAUCAUAAUGACACAUGUCAUAACGAUCAAAACUCCGGUGGUCUACGAUGGACUCGCGUCCCAUUAGCUAGUUGGUAGAGUAAAGGCCUACCAAGGCGACGAUGGGUAGCCGGCAUGAGAGGCUGAACGGCCACAUCGGAACUGAGAAACGGUCCAAACUCCUACGGGAGGGAGCCGUGGGGAAUAUUGCACAAUGGAGGGAACUCUGAUGCAGCGACGCCGCGUGAACGAAGAAGGCUUUCGAGUCGUAAAGUUCUUUUAUAUGGGAAGAUAAUGACGGUACCAUAAGAAAAAGCCCCGGCUAACUACGUG
This 480-nucleotide ribosomal RNA is filed under the name uncultured bacterium. RNAcentral describes it as "partial 16S ribosomal RNA". It matches the Rfam family "Bacterial small subunit ribosomal RNA", at positions 28 to 507 of the family's 1533-position model. The record is from RNAcentral.